This 1316-nucleotide ribosomal RNA is filed under the name Toxolasma parvum (lilliput). RNAcentral's name for it is "Toxolasma parvus (lilliput) 16S ribosomal RNA". The stretch from base 862 to 1210 matches the Rfam family "Archaeal large subunit ribosomal RNA", at positions 2150 to 2716 of the family's 2987-position model. The record is from RNAcentral. Lineage: Eukaryota; Metazoa; Mollusca; Bivalvia; Unionida; Unionidae.
GCCUUAGAUAAACUAAACUCUCCAGUAACUAUAAAAAAAAUUCUUGUCGCACAUCAGUACUCCCUAAAAACCUUCACUGCUUAAUAACCGCAAGGGCCACAUUGUUUGCCAAUCACAGAAAAGAUAAUCACUUAUCCCUUUUGCAUCAUGGAGAAGCAACAAAACCGUAAAAUUUUUACCUUCCCGAAUAAUUAUGAGCUACUGGGUUCUAAAAAUUAAUGUCUCACAAUUAAUAAACUAGUCUUCAGUAGAAGUAAUAAGCCUUGCACAUAAUUAGAUAGCUGGUUUUCCGCAAAAAGUACCAAAGUACUACCUCAUAGUAGACUUUACCACUAGUAAGCAUGAGUGUCAGCCUUUUAAGGACUAGCCUAAAAGGAUAAACAAAAAUAAUCUACACACCUUUACUCUUUAAGUAGGCUUAAAAGCAGCCACCUAAACAGCGUUCUAGCUAAUAAAUUUCUCUCCAAUAAUAUCCAAAAAUAUAAUUUUAACUAAUAGCGAAAUCUAGUAUUAAACGUCGUUCACUAACAAACAGGCAUUCUAUUAGUAUUACUUACAGGUAAACUUAAAAAUCUUGACAAAACUAAGACUGAUUUUAAAUUUAACCACCAACCCACACAGAGUGAACUCGGCAACAAAAUCCCCUGCCUGUUUACCAAAAACAUCGUCUUUUGUUAAUUCCCGCAUAAAAGAUAAUGCCUGCCCAGUGAAAAAUCUUUAAACGGCCGCGUUAGCGUGAGCGUGCUAAGGUAGCGUAAUAAAUAGCCUUUUAAUUGGAGGCCAGUGAAUGGCAAGACUAGGGACACCUAUACCCUGUGUGACAAAAAAACUUUUCAUCUAAGUGAAAAGACUUAGAUAACAAAGAAAGACGAAAAGACCCCGCGGAACUUUACCUUUUCCAAUCUUCACGUGCUUAGGAACACAAAAAUGAAAGGUUUGAUUGGGGCAAUCUUGGAACCAAACAAACUUCCAAUUUCACCAUACAUAAUAAUACAAAACUCAAUAAGGACCUAAAAGAAGUUACCCCGGGGAUAACAGCGUAAUCCAGCUUGAGAGUACGCAUCGAAAGAAUCUGGGUUUGCGACCUCGAUGUUGGCUUAGGGACAUCCACAUAAGUGCAACCGCCAUGACAGGAUAGUCUGUUCGACUAUUAUACCCUUACACGAGCUGAGUUAAGACCGGCGCAAGCUAGGUUGGUUUCUAUCUUCUUCCCUUGACAACUUUCUUGAUUGUACGAAAGGACCCCAAGAAAUGCAUUUCAAUUAAGCAUUUUUCCUAAAUAUUGCAUCCAUAACCCUAAUAUUUUUUAACUUUAC